ACGGAGUUACUUUAGUGAAGUUUUCGGAUGGAUCUGAUUUAACUUAGUGGCGGACGGGUGAGUAAUGCGUGAGCAACCUGCCCUUCAGAGGGGGACAACAGUUGGAAACGACUGCUAAUACCGCAUAAUGUAUUCGGAAGGCAUCUUCUGGAUACCAAAGGAGAAAUCCGCUGAUGGAUGGGCUCACGUCUGAUUAGCUAGUUGGUGAGGUAACGGCUCACCAAGGCUGCGAUCAGUAGCCGGACUGAGAGGUUGAACGGCCACAUUGGGACUGAGAUACGGCCCAGACUCCUACGGGAGGCAGCAGUGGGGAAUAUUGGGCAAUGGGCGAAAGCCUGACCCAGCAACGCCGCGUGAAGGAAGAAGGCCUUCGGGUUGUAAACUUCUUUUAAGAGGGACGAAGAAGUGACGGUACCUCUUGAAUAAGCCACGGCUAACUACGUGCCAGCAGCCGCGGUAAUACGUAGGUGGCGAGCGUUAUCCGGAUUUACUGGGUGUAAAGGGCGCGUAGGCGGGAAUGCAAGUCAGAUGUGAAAUCCAAGGGCUCAACCCUUGAACUGCAUUUGAAACUGUAUUUCUUGAGUGUCGGAGGGGUUGACGGAAUUCCUAGUGUAGCGGUGAAAUGCGUAGAUAUUAGGAGGAACACCAGUGGCGAAGGCGGUCAACUGGACGAUAACUGACGCUGAG
Molecule: ribosomal RNA, 687 nt
Filed under: uncultured bacterium
Lineage: Bacteria
Description: bacterial SSU rRNA
Rfam family: Bacterial small subunit ribosomal RNA
Source: RNAcentral